CGAUGAGCGAUUUUUUGCCUAGGUGGUUUACUCUUUCUUUUGUAGUUGAGAGAGUGAAAGAUUUUGUAUCCAUGUAUAGAGACUACCUACGUAUCUACUUUUAGCACUUGCAUUUGGGAUUUCCUUUAUAUUACUUUAUGCUUUUAUUAGUGGAGUCCAGCUUUAUGUUCCUUUCUCUAUUGUAGAACUUAGUGUUAUAUCAUGCUCUGAUACUCCUAGAUGUCUUUUAUUAUUGCUUUAAUUAUCGUUGUUUUAGACGCCUUAUAUGUUUUAGACGUAUGGCGGGUCUAGGCACGUGCCGGGCGGGUUUCCGCUGGGUCCCGGGGCGUGACAGCCUUACACCCUCCUUUGAUUAUUUUCUUCGCCCUCACAGACGAUAUAGUCGCCGCAAAGCGCCUACUUUUGCACGCUUUGUAGACUAACUCUUCUUGAUUAGGCUCACGAAAA
This 447-nucleotide long non-coding RNA is filed under the name Ananas comosus (pineapple). RNAcentral describes it as "long non-coding RNA (ACOM_LNC037486)". Lineage: Eukaryota; Viridiplantae; Streptophyta; Magnoliopsida; Poales; Bromeliaceae. The record is from RNAcentral.